Molecule: ribosomal RNA, 253 nt
Filed under: uncultured bacterium
Lineage: Bacteria
Description: partial 16S ribosomal RNA
Rfam family: Bacterial small subunit ribosomal RNA (bases 44-253)
Source: RNAcentral
UCCUUCUUUCUCUCUCUUUUUUCUUCUCUCCUUUUCUUCCAUCUCACUUAUUCUUCUUCUUAAUUCAUGGGUGAAAUCCCGGAGCUCAACUCCGGAACUGCCCUUGAAACUGCAAUGCUAGAAUCCUGGAGAGGCGAGUGGAAUUCCGAGUGUAGAGGUGAAAUUCGUAGAUAUUCGGAAGAACACCAGUGGCGAAGGCGACUCGCUGGACAAGUAUUGACGCUGAGGUGCGAAAGCGUGGGUAGCAAACAGG